This is a non-coding RNA of Triticum aestivum (bread wheat), 126 nucleotides long. NCBI's taxonomy places the organism in Eukaryota, Viridiplantae, Streptophyta, Magnoliopsida, Poales, Poaceae. The record is from Rfam.
CACCUACUCCCUCCGUCCAAAAAAGCUUAUCCCUUAGAUCAAUGUAUAUAGCAUCAAGUUAGUGUUAGAUACAUUCAUUUAAGAAACAAGCUUGGGACAAGGUUUUUCGGAUGGAGGGAGUAUAAG